AGGCAUGUGGUGACUUCAGUAACAGAGACGACUGCAGGGCUGACCUAAGCUUAGUAGCCUGGCUUCUCCGGGAGCUGAGGGUGAGCAUCAUGCCUGCUCCAUCUCCCUCUUUGUUGUGGAUAAGGCAGCUAACCUGAUGUACAUAUGACAUUAAUCCAAUAGACUUAGGAAUAAGAUACAGGGGGUUUUCCUGAAUGAUUCGAGUAUAUCCCCAUUCAUAUUAAGAAAACAAAGUAUUGGCCAAGCGUGGUGGCUCACGCCUGUAAUCCCGGCACUUUGGAAGGCCGAGGCCAGUGGAUCACCUGAGAUGGACUCAACGACUCUCUUACCGUCCAGCUCUCAAGUCCCUUCUCUUGUGAAAAUGGAAAAGUUGAACUACAGUUGAGAUAUUAUUCCCAGGUGUUCUUUGGAACACAGGGGAUUUCUCCAAAAGGCACAGAACAAAUUGCCUCCAAACAGCCAAGAUUCCAGCAGAAGCUGGAGUAGCAGACUACUUGGAUCUUCAAAGUACCUGGCCCUGAGUCAGUUAAGGAAGAUCUUUUCUUCUCUUUUGUACAAUCCUAUGAUGAGAGCUGCAAAGUGAACUGACUAAGAGCUUCUGCCUUGAUCAUUGACCUCCCAAUCCUAAUAAUAUGUUCACUGGCCAAACUUCCUAAUCGAUUUGUCUUUUGGAUAUAACGUUCCUCCUACUGUUUGCCUGAUUGAGAAAUCUGCUACAGAACAUGACCGGUUAGCAUUCCCACCAACCCCAGUGCUACACUGACUGUCUUUCGAUGGACUUUGCUCCUUGCUGCCUCUCUGAGGUCCCAGACCUUCAGAGUGACCUUCACAGCUCUGCCUAACUUUCUGUCAUACUUCUAUCAAGAGAGACAGCUAAAUCAAUAUUUUUAAUGUGCUUUGCUGUCGGAAUUCGAUGAUCUGUCACAGUUCUUGCCCAAUACACCCCAUCAUUAUUGUUAAAAUGUUUUUAGCUUUGUUUGUAGAAUUGCUUUAACUGGUUUCAUCUCUGGGAGCUACACUUUGAAAUAUAACUUUAGCAACAUUUUACUAUACUUUUUCACAACCCAGAGCAGUACUAUUUUAUGCUUAGUGGUUAAACUAAUUCCAUAAAUCUUUUGCAACUAUCCUCUAUUCUUUUUCUUGUAAUUUUUACCUGGGAAGGUUUUUACUGAUAAUCAUCCUAUCCUGAGUCAUCCCACAAACCAAUCUGUCUCACUAAUCAUUGCUUCUAACCUACAGACUAAGCAUAACUUCUGCUAAAUGAUCUUUGAUAAGAUGCUAUGACUCUAUAAAGUCUUUGAUAUUCAUGUCUAAAUUUAAUCACUUGUAGAUUUUCAUAGAAUCAAUCUUUCACUUCUACAAUUGGGAGUAUUUAUAAGUUGUUUAUCUUAAACAGUUCCUCUAUCACGCUUUUCACGUUAAAUAAAGCAAUCCCUUCAAAUCAAU
Homo sapiens (human) is the source of this 1446-nucleotide long non-coding RNA. The record is from Ensembl. NCBI's taxonomy places the organism in Eukaryota, Metazoa, Chordata, Mammalia, Primates, Hominidae.